UGGGUAACCUGCCUCAAAGAGGGGAAUAGCCUCCCGAAAGGGAGAUUAAUACCGCAUAACAUGUUUAAGUCGCAUGACUUUAACAUCAAAGGAUUUCUUUUAGAACUUCCACUUUGAGAUGGACCCGCGGCGCAUUAGCUAGUUGGUGAGGUAACGGCUCACCAAGGCAACGAUGCGUAGCCGACCUGAGAGGGUNAUCGGCCACAUUGGAACUGAGACACGGUCCAGACUCCCGUAGGGACGG
Molecule: ribosomal RNA, 244 nt
Filed under: uncultured bacterium
Lineage: Bacteria
Description: partial 16S ribosomal RNA
Rfam family: Bacterial small subunit ribosomal RNA
Source: RNAcentral